GGCUGUACCUCAGUGGCAGAGGGCUUGCCUAGCAUGUGUGAGGUACUGGGUUCGAUCCUUAGCGCCA
RNAcentral lists this transfer RNA (67 nucleotides) under Marmota monax (woodchuck). Its description in RNAcentral is "tRNA.Ala". The record is from RNAcentral. Lineage: Eukaryota; Metazoa; Chordata; Mammalia; Rodentia; Sciuridae.